GACGAACGCUGGCGGCGCGCUUAACACAUGCAAGUCGAACGGAAAGGCCUGCUUUCCCUUGUGGUUUGCGGGUACUCGAGUGGCGAACGGGUGAGUAACACGUGAGUGAUCUGCACCCAACUUGGGUAUAAGCCUGGGAAACUGGGUCGAAUUACCGAUAGGACUGCAGGGUGGUGUCUGUGGUGGAAAACGAUUUUCUAGUGGUUGGGGAUGAGCUCGCGGCCUAUCAGCUUGUUGGGGGGGUAAUGUCCUACCAAGGCGGCGACGGGUAGCCGGACGGAGAGCGUGGACGGCCACACUGGGACUCGGUUACGGCCCAGACUCGUACGGGAGGCAGGAGUUGUGACUAUUGGGGCAUGGGCCGGAGCGUGAUGCAGCGCCGGCGCGUUGAGGAUCAUGGCCUUCUGGUUGUCAGUUCCUUUCGACCGCGAAGAGGGCAACUGGUUAUGCGCGUGGUGACGGUAGCGGUAGAAGAAGCACCGGCUAACUACGUG
RNAcentral lists this ribosomal RNA (494 nucleotides) under uncultured bacterium. Its description in RNAcentral is "partial 16S ribosomal RNA". It matches the Rfam family "Bacterial small subunit ribosomal RNA", at positions 28 to 507 of the family's 1533-position model. The record is from RNAcentral.